Molecule: long non-coding RNA, 336 nt
Organism: Drosophila teissieri
Lineage: Eukaryota; Metazoa; Arthropoda; Insecta; Diptera; Drosophilidae
Exons: 3
Source: RefSeq, a predicted model, not a curated record
CCCACCAAAAUUUAUAUUAAAACGUGAUCACCCGGUUACCAGUUUCUGAGGGCUUGAUGGGCUGCUCAGCGGCCUCGUUCCGCUGUCUCGCCGCUCUUGUCGUCCUGAGUGGCGCGGGACCGUCACUUGGGCUAAGGAUUUGUCGUCGUAUGCGGACUCACGGUAGCUAACGGCUGCGAUCCCCAAGGCAAACGCCUAGUGAAACCGAAACACGCCAACCCACGUCUGCUCGGACUGGUGGCGCCGGUACCACGUCUGCUCGGAUCGCACGGACACACCAGUUUUUGCCACGCCCACUCUAACGCCAAGAAACCGCCAAAAACUGUCAGUGCUGAA